CCUACGGGAGGCAGCAGUGAGGAAUAUUGGUCAAUGGGCUUACGCCUGAACCAGCCAAGUCGCGUGAGGGAAGACUGCCCUAUGGGUUGUAAACCUCUUUUGUCAGGGAGCAAUUGGCGCUACGUGUAGCGUUAUCGAGAGUACCUGAAGAAAAAGCAUCGGCUAACUCCGUGCCAGCAGCCGCGGUAAUACGGAGGAGGCGAGCGUUAUCCGGAUUUAUUGGGUUUAAAGGGGGCGUAGGCGGAAUGCCAAGUCAGCGGUAAAAUCGCGGGGCAAAACCUCGCUCCGCCGUUGAAACUGGCGUGCUUGAGUGGGCGAGGGGUAUGCGGAAUGCGUGGUGUAGCGGUGAAAUGCGUAGAUAUCACGCAGAACACCGAUUGCGAAGGCAGCAUACCGGCGCCCAACUGACGCUGAAGCACGAAAGCGUGGGGAUCGAACAGGAUUAGAUACCCUUGUAGUC
Molecule: ribosomal RNA, 460 nt
Filed under: uncultured bacterium
Lineage: Bacteria
Description: partial 16S ribosomal RNA
Rfam family: Bacterial small subunit ribosomal RNA
Source: RNAcentral